RNAcentral lists this long non-coding RNA (603 nucleotides) under Junco hyemalis (dark-eyed junco). RNAcentral's name for it is "lncRNA (ENSJHYG00000005576.1)". Lineage: Eukaryota; Metazoa; Chordata; Aves; Passeriformes; Passerellidae. The record is from RNAcentral.
CAUCCCCUGCUCUGCUGCCCUGGGAUCAGGCAGAAGUGGAGGAGAGUGACCAGGCCAGACCACUGCAAGCUGUGUGUUCCUCCCUACUGGGUGCACUGAGAGCUGUUGCCAGGCCUCAGGACUCUCAUUUUCCAGUAACAGGCAUGACUCAGUCACUCUGCUUCACUUGGUGGCCUUUGUCUAUGACCAUCCUCUACUUGUCUCUCCCAGAAAAUUAUCCUUGAUUUUAAUUACCAGGUCCCAAGCAGAGGGAACUAGGGGAUUAGGACUGGGGCUGGGCUCAGGAUCUGGAGAUUCAUUCACAUUUGACUUGGGGCAAGUAUCUCCAACUCUCCCUUUUGUUUUCCCCUUGCCUGUUUCAACAGAGCCAUCCUCUUGCCUGUGUCAGUGCAAUCUCCACUGUGAUAAAAAUGACAAUACUUGUAAUGUCACAAAUACUGUACAAAAUGCUCACUCAGACCCCACAGCACCCAUUAAAUGCCACUAAUAGGACAUUUGGGUUAACUUCAGUUGUAAGGUUUGACUGAUAAGGGCAAUCCCCAGUGGCUCCUUCCAGAGAAAAUCAUCAACUCACAGCAUAGUUUGGGUUGGAUUUCAAAUCCC